AUCAGCUAUGGUUCCUUGGAUCGUACAUACUACAUGGAUAACUGUAGUAAUUCUAGAGCUAAUACAUGCCACUAAGCCCUGACCCGCAAGGGGACGGGUGGAUUUAUUAGAACAGAACCAACCGGUUGUGGCUUCGGUCAUGGCCGUUGUACUCUGUGAUGACUCUGGAUAACUUUACUGAUCGCAGUCGGCCUUGUGUCGGCGACGGAUCUUUCAAAUGUCUGCCCUAUCAAUUGUCGAUGGUAGGUGACCUGCCUACCAUGGUGAUAACGGGUAACGGGGAAUCAGGGUUCGAUUCCGGAGAGGGAGCCUGAGAAACGGCUACCACUUCUAAGGAAGGCAGCAGGCACGCAAAUUACCCAAUCCCGGCACGGGGAGGUAGUGACGAUAAAUACGGAUACGGGACUCAAAAGAGGCUCCGUAAUUCGAAUGAGUACAAUUUAAAUCCUUUAACGAGGACCAACUGGAGGGCAAGUCUGGUGCCAGCAGCCGCGGUAACUCCAGCUCCAGAAGCGUAUAUUAAAGUUGUUGCAGUUAAAAAGCUCGUAGUUGGAUCUGGGUCGCAUGGCUACGCGCCGUUGCUUGUGAUCUCGGUUUGGUUACGACCGGAUUGAGUUCAUGAGUCGGUGUAGUGGUUGUGCAGCCUUUCUGCCGUGUCUGUUUUACAGGUGCUGGCGGAUUGUUGGGUUCGCCCUUCAGUCUGUCGGCAUGCUUCCGAAUGCCUUUAAACGGGUGUUGGGGGCGGACGGCACGUUUACUUUGAACAA
Molecule: ribosomal RNA, 767 nt
Filed under: Trematoda environmental sample
Lineage: Eukaryota; Metazoa; Platyhelminthes; Trematoda
Description: SSU rRNA
Rfam family: Eukaryotic small subunit ribosomal RNA
Source: RNAcentral